Molecule: transfer RNA, 63 nt
Filed under: Camelus bactrianus (Bactrian camel)
Lineage: Eukaryota; Metazoa; Chordata; Mammalia; Artiodactyla; Camelidae
Also listed under: 2 other names
Rfam family: tRNA
About the family: Transfer RNA (tRNA) molecules are approximately 80 nucleotides in length.
Source: Rfam by way of RNAcentral
GAGAGUGUAGCUCAGUGGUAGAGCACGUGCUUAGCAUCCUGGGUUCAAUCCCCAGUACCUCCA